GAGGAGGAUUGGCAGUAGUUAGCUCAGGGCUAAUCUUCCUCAAAGAAAAAAAAGAAUUUCAAAAUGGUGACCACAGAACAUUAAACCCCAAGCACAGAGCCCCCAUCUAAGCACAGUGCUCAUGAGUCCAGUCUUAUCUCCAAUCUCUAGGACAACGCCUAGUAUGUGGUAGGGAGUGAAAGAAUGAAUGAAAGAACAGCAAGUAAAUAAACCAUAAUUCCACAGACCACUUCCAUUUUGCCUAUCUUGUGGGCAAGCUGGCUUGCUUUUCAUUAAUGAAUAACUCUUCCUUGAGAGCAUACCAUCCACAAGUCAUUACACUGGGAGUUCUGAGGGCACACAGAGAUGAAUCAGGAGCAGCCUCCUUCUUCAUAAAAUCUGCAGUCCAGUAGUAGAACUAAGACAAUGCCCUCAAACAACUCCUCUGUGAGGCAAACAAUGAAAAGUGACCUAAGGUACAGAACAAUGGCAGCUCAGAGAUCUAUAUCACUACGGGGAUCACAAAAGUUUUAUGAAAGAGGUGGCAUUUAAGUGGGCCUCUAAAAAAGAUAUGGGGUUUAGUCAUAAAGAGAACCCAGGAAAUGGUGACAAUGUCAACAGAAGGUAAAAGGAGGAAAGCCAGAAUUACAUACAGUAAAGAGGUAACGGUGCUCAGGAAAGAGAACUGGAAAGCAGCUUGGUCUUCAAACAACUCUCUCUGCUGCUUGUGAACUACAAGAGUUUUCUCUCCCCGGUUCUCAGACUUCUUGCAGGGGAACUGUGGAGGCAAGCAUGCCUUCAGAAUGAUUAAUCCACUUGCCUUCAGAGGUCUGUUUUGCUGGGCCCACAGCCACUGCCAAGAAAGGACACACUGUGACCACCAGCGCCAGGAACUGAAGGAAAUUAAUUAAACAUGGACAUGGAGUGUCAAGGGCAAGACAAGUUGGGGAAAAAGAGGAGGCCCAUCUCUGUCUCCAGAAGCAAUUUUUCUGCGUAAAGUGGAGUCAUGUGGAGCAGUGGAGGCUGCUUUAAAACUCAUGGGGCCUGCAGCAAUGAGAGUCUGUGAUUACUCAG
Equus caballus (horse) is the source of this 1053-nucleotide long non-coding RNA. RefSeq lists it as uncharacterized. The record is from RefSeq and is a predicted model, not a curated record. Lineage: Eukaryota; Metazoa; Chordata; Mammalia; Perissodactyla; Equidae.